This 127-nucleotide small RNA is filed under the name Marmota monax (woodchuck). Lineage: Eukaryota; Metazoa; Chordata; Mammalia; Rodentia; Sciuridae. The record is from RNAcentral.
GCGGGGCAUGGUGGCACAUGCUUGUAAUCCAAACUACUUGGGAGUCUGAGGCAGGAGGAUUGCAAGUUCAUGGCUAGCCUCAGCAAAUUAGUGAGGCCCUAAGCAACUUAGCAAGACUGUGUCUCUA